AGCGAACGCUGGCGGCAGGCCUAACACAUGCAAGUCGAACGGAUCCUUCGGGAUUAGUGGCGGACGGGUGAGUAACACGUGGGAACGUGCCCUUUGGUUCGGAACAACUCAGGGAAACUUGAGCUAAUACCGGAUGUGCCCUUCGGGGGAAAGAUUUAUCGCCAUUGGAGCGGCCCGCGUCUGAUUAGCUAGUUGGUGAGGUAACGGCCCACCAAGGCGACGAUCAGUAGCUGGUCUGAGAGGAUGAUCAGCCACACUGGGACUGAGACACGGCCCAGACUCCUACGGGAGGCAGCAGUGGGGAAUCUUGCGCAAUGGGCGAAAGCCUGACGCAGCCAUGCCACGUGAAUGAUGAAGGUCUUAGGAUUGUAAAAUUCUUUCAGCGGGGACGAUAAUGACGGUACCCGCAGAAGAAGCUCCGGCUAACUUCGUG
Molecule: ribosomal RNA, 433 nt
Filed under: uncultured bacterium
Lineage: Bacteria
Description: partial 16S ribosomal RNA
Rfam family: Bacterial small subunit ribosomal RNA
Source: RNAcentral